GAUGAACGCUGGCGGCGUGCCUAAUACAUGCAAGUCGAGCGAACGGACGAGAAGCUUGCUUCUCUGAUGUUAGCGGCGGACGGGUGAGUAACACGUGGAUAACCUACCUAUAAGACUGGGAUAACUUCGGGAAACCGUAGCUAAUACCGGAUAAUAUUUUGAACCGCAUGGUUCAAAAGUGAAAGACGGUCUUGCUGUCACUUAUAGAUGGAUCCGCGCUGCAUUAGCUAGUUGGUAAGGUAACGGCUUACCAAGGCAACGAUGCAUAGCCGACCUGAGAGGGUGAUCGGCCACACUGGAACUGAGACACGGUCCAGACUCCUACGGGAGGCAGCAGUAGGGAAUCUUCCGCAAUGGGCGAAAGCCUGACGGAGCAACGCCGCGUGAGUGAUGAAGGUCUUCGGAUCGUAAAACUCUGUUAUUAGGGAAGAACAUAUGUGUAAGUAACUGUGCACAUCUUGACGGUACCUAAUCAGAAAGCCACGGCUAACUACGUGCCAGCAGCCGCGGUAAUACGUAGGUGGCAAGCGUUAUCCGGAAUUAUUGGGCGUAAAGCGCGCGUAGGCGGUUUUUUAAGUCUGAUGUGAAAGCCCACGGCUCAACCGUGGAGGGUCAUUGGAAACUGGAAAACUUGAGUGCAGAAGAGGAAAGUGGAAUUCCAUGUGUAGCGGUGAAAUGCGCAGAGAUAUGGAGGAACACCAGUGGCGAAGGCGACUUUCUGGUCUGUAACUGACGCUGAUGUGCGAAAGCGUGGGGAUCAAACAGGAUUAGAUACCCUGGUAGUCCACGCCGUAAACGAUGAGUGCUAAGUGUUAGGGGGUUUCCGCCCCUUAGUGCUGCAGCUAACGCAUUAAGCACUCCGCCUGGGGAGUACGACCGCAAGGUUGAAACUCAAAGGAAUUGACGGGGACCCGCACAAGCGGUGGAGCAUGUGGUUUAAUUCGAAGCAACGCGAAGAACCUUACCAAAUCUUGACAUCCUCUGACAACUCUAGAGAUAGAGCCUUCCCCUUCGGGGGACAAAGUGACAGGUGGUGCAUGGUUGUCGUCAGCUCGUGUCGUGAGAUGUUGGGUUAAGUCCCGCAACGAGCGCAACCCUUAAGCUUAGUUGCCAUCAUUAAGUUGGGCACUCUAAGUUGACUGCCGGUGACAAACCGGAGGAAGGUGGGGAUGACGUCAAAUCAUCAUGCCCCUUAUGAUUUGGGCUACACACGUGCUACAAUGGACAAUACAAAGGGCAGCGAAACCGCGAGGUCAAGCAAAUCCCAUAAAGUUGUUCUCAGUUCGGAUUGUAGUCUGCAACUCGACUACAUGAAGCUGGAAUCGCUAGUAAUCGUAGAUCAGCAUGCUACGGUGAAUACGUUCCCGGGUCU
This 1372-nucleotide ribosomal RNA is filed under the name uncultured bacterium. RNAcentral describes it as "bacterial SSU rRNA". It matches the Rfam family "Bacterial small subunit ribosomal RNA", at positions 28 to 1381 of the family's 1533-position model. The record is from RNAcentral.